This 453-nucleotide ribosomal RNA is filed under the name uncultured organism. RNAcentral describes it as "partial 16S ribosomal RNA". It matches the Rfam family "Bacterial small subunit ribosomal RNA", at positions 332 to 801 of the family's 1533-position model. The record is from RNAcentral.
UACACUCCUGCGGGAGGCAGCAGUGGGGAAUAUUGGACAAUGGGCGCAAGCCUGAUCCAGCCAUGCCGCGUGAGUGAUGAAGGCCCUAGGGUUGUAAAGCUCUUUCACCGGUGAAGAUAAUGACGGUAACCGGAGAAGAAGCCCCGGCUAACUUCGUGCCAGCAGCCGCGGUAAUACGAAGGGGGCUAGCGUUGUUCGGAUUUACUGGGCGUAAAGCGCACGUAGGCGGACUAUUAAGUCAGGGGUGAAAUCCCGGGGCUCAACCCCGGAACUGCCUUCGAUACUGGUAGUCUUGAGUUCGAGAGAGGUGAGUGGAAUUCCGAGUGUAGAGGUGAAAUUCGUAGAUAUUCGGAGGAACACCAGUGGCGAAGGCGGCUCACUGGCUCGAUACUGACGCUGAGGUGCGAAAGCGUGGGGAGCAAACAGGAUUAGAAACCCGUGUAGUCCCAUGAU